AUAAUACUCCCUCCGUCCGGAAAUACUCGUCGGAGGAAUGGAUGUAUCUAGAUGUAUUUUAGUUUUAGAUACAUUCAUUUUUAUGCAUUCCUUCGACAAGUAUUUCCGGACGGAGGGAGUAUUAU
This is a non-coding RNA of Triticum aestivum (bread wheat), 125 nucleotides long. The record is from Rfam. Lineage: Eukaryota; Viridiplantae; Streptophyta; Magnoliopsida; Poales; Poaceae.